RNAcentral lists this ribosomal RNA (482 nucleotides) under uncultured bacterium. RNAcentral describes it as "partial 16S ribosomal RNA". It matches the Rfam family "Bacterial small subunit ribosomal RNA", at positions 28 to 507 of the family's 1533-position model. The record is from RNAcentral.
GAUGAACGCUAGCGGCAGGCCUAAUACAUGCAAGUCGAACGAGAUUAAGAGGCUUGCUUCUUAUGAAAGUGGCGCACGGGUGCGUAACGCGUAUGCAACCUACCUUAAUCAGGGGGAUAGCCCGAAGAAAUUCGGAUUAAGACCGCAUAAAAACACAGGAUAGCAUUAUCCAAUGUUCAAAUAUUUAUAGGAUUAAGAUGGGCAUGCGUGUCAUUAGCUAGUUGGCGGGGUAACGGCCCACCAAGGCGACGAUGACUAGGGGAUCUGAGAGGAUGACCCCCCACACUGGUACUGAGACACGGACCAGACUCCUACGGGAGGCAGCAGUAAGGAAUAUUGGGCAAUGGAGGGAACUCUGAACCAGCCAUGCCGCGUGCAGGAAGACAGCCCUCUGGGUCGUAAACUGCUUUUAUUCGGGAAUAAACCUUUCUACGUGUAGGAAGCUGAAUGUACCGAAGGAAUAAGGAUCGGCUAACUCCGUG